GGUAAACAUUUAACGGAAUGUGGCAGCUCAGAACAAUGACCCCUCUUGUGGCAUGAACACUGGUUUCUUUUGCUUUCUACACAAACUCCUUCCGGUGGAGAAGCUGAACAAAAGAACGUGCCAGCCCCGCUGUGGGCUCCCCAGGCCGUGCAGAUUGCCAAGUGAGAAAUACCAGCAGAGAUUCGCUUUGGGAAAGUCUUCCCACUGCGAGCCCUUCAGAGAACAACGUCAUGUUGAUAGAUGGCAGUGACUCACUCCAGACCUUUCCAUGCCUCCUCUGCAAGCACUCAAGAGAGUCAGGAGCAAAACCGUGCAAUAGUUCCAUGGAGGAGGGCAAAGAGCUUCAUCCACACUGAGGAACAGGCGGAUCACGCGGCUGCAGCAUGGGUCUUACCUUUUCACUGCUUGAUUUGACACGUUCCGGCCAGGUACGGUGGCUCACACCUGCAAUCCCAGCACUUUGGGAGGCCAAGGCAGGUGGAUUGCUUGGGCCCAGGAGUUCGAAAUCAGCCUGGGCAACCUGGCAAAACCCCAUCUCUACAAAAAACAAACAAACAAACAAACAAAAAUUAGCCAGGCGUGGUGUGUGUGCCUGUGGUCCCAGCUACUCGGCAGGCUGAGGCUGGAGGGUCACUUGAGCCCAGGAAGUGGAGGCUGCAGUGAGGUGGAUCAUGCCACUGCACUCCAGCCUGGGUGAUGGAGCCAGAUGUUGUCUCCAAAAAAAAAGAAAAAGAAAAGGAGAAAUAAUCCAAGACUAUGGAGAAGCCUUCUUUGGCGUCCGUGUGAAACAUUCUUUCAUCCAUUCAGCAAAUGCUUACUGAGGAGCCACCGUGUCCCUGAAAUUGCCUCCACCUCCAGGAAGACAGCAGUGAACAAGUCAGUCAACGUCCCUAAUCUCAUGGAAUUUAUAAGUAAAUGGGCCGUUACAAUGGCCAGAUCAGAAGUGCUGUGAUGAGCAAAUAGAGGCUCAUGUGAAACUCCUAAGAAGGGUUUCUGAGCUGGACUUGGGUCAGGAAAGCAGAAUGUGGGGGCUGACUCAUCCAGACCAGGGUGGGGGGCCUCCCACUUGCUGUCUGUCUCCUUCUAGACUGACUUCUCUGUCGUCAUGAAUACAUUCCUUUAAGACAUACAUUUAAGAGAAAAUGAUGAGAUGCCUUA
Molecule: long non-coding RNA, 1158 nt
Organism: Sapajus apella (tufted capuchin)
Lineage: Eukaryota; Metazoa; Chordata; Mammalia; Primates; Cebidae
Exons: 2
Source: RefSeq, a predicted model, not a curated record